This 1359-nucleotide ribosomal RNA is filed under the name uncultured bacterium. RNAcentral's name for it is "16S ribosomal RNA". It matches the Rfam family "Bacterial small subunit ribosomal RNA", at positions 29 to 1393 of the family's 1533-position model. The record is from RNAcentral.
ACGAACGCUGGCGGCGUGCUUAACACAUGCAAGUCGAACGGAAAGGCCCUGCUUUUGUGGGGUGCUCGAGUGGCGAACGGGUGAGUAACACGUGAGUAACCUGCCCUUGACUUUGGGAUAACUUCAGGAAACUGGGGCUAAUACCGGAUAGGAGCUCCUGCUGCAUGGUGGGGGUUGGAAAGUUUCGGCGGUUGGGGAUGGACUCGCGGCUUAUCAGCUUGUUGGUGGGGUAGUGGCUUACCAAGGCUUUGACGGGUAGCCGGCCUGAGAGGGUGACCGGCCACAUUGGGACUGAGAUACGGCCCAGACUCCUACGGGAGGCAGCAGUGGGGAAUAUUGCACAAUGGGCGGAAGCCUGAUGCAGCAACGCCGCGUGCGGGAUGACGGCCUUCGGGUUGUAAACCGCUUUCGCCUGUGACGAAGCGUGAGUGACGGUAAUGGGUAAAGAAGCACCGGCUAACUACGUGCCAGCAGCCGCGGUGAUACGUAGGGUGCGAGCGUUGUCCGGAUUUAUUGGGCGUAAAGGGCUCGUAGGUGGUUGAUCGCGUCGGAAGUGUAAUCUUGGGGCUUAACCCUGAGCGUGCUUUCGAUACGGGUUGACUUGAGGAAGGUAGGGGAGAAUGGAAUUCCUGGUGGAGCGGUGGAAUGCGCAGAUAUCAGGAGGAACACCAGUGGCCGAAGGGCGGUUCUCUGGGCCUUUCCUGACGCUGAGGAGCGAAAGCGUGGGGAGCGAACAGGCUUAGAUACCCUGGUAGUCCACGCUGUAAACGGUGGGUACUAGGUGUGGGGUCCAUUCCACGGGUUCCGCGCCGUAGCUAACGCUUUAAGUACCCCGCCUGGGGAGUACGGCCGCAAGGCUAAAACUCAAAGGAAUUGACGGGGCCCCGCACAAGCGGCGGAGCAUGCGGAUUAAUUCGAUGCAACGCGUAGAACCUUACCUGGGUUUGACAUGGAUCGGGAGUGCUCAGAGAUGGGUGUGCCUCUUUUGGGGUCGGUUCACAGGUGGUGCAUGGCUGUCGUCAGCUCGUGUCGUGAGAUGUUGGGUUAAGUCCCGCAACGAGCGCAACCCUUGUUCACUGUUGCCAGCACGUUAUGGUGGGGACUCAGUGGAGACCGCCGGGGUCAACUCGGAGGAAGGUGGGGAUGACGUCAAGUCAUCAUGCCCCUUAUGUCCAGGGCUUCACGCAUGCUACAAUGGCUGGUACAGAGAGUGGCGAGCCUGUGAGGGUGAGCGAAUCUCGGAAAGCCGGUCUCAGUUCGGAUUGGGGUCUGCAACUCGACCUCAUGAAGUCGGAGUCGCUAGUAAUCGCAGAUCAGCAACGCUGCGGUGAAUACGUUCCCGGGGCUUGUACUCACCGC